Molecule: long non-coding RNA, 1056 nt
Filed under: Lactuca sativa (garden lettuce)
Lineage: Eukaryota; Viridiplantae; Streptophyta; Magnoliopsida; Asterales; Asteraceae
Description: long non-coding RNA (LSAT_LNC003569)
Source: RNAcentral
CUUAUGUUGCAGCAAAAGAAAAAAAUAAAUAUAUGAAGAUAAUGGACGAUGCAAAGUAACACUGACAAAAUUAAAAGGAAAGAGUCAAAAAGUAAAAUAUUACCUCUUUAAAAUCGAAGUUGUUUCUUUUCAGAUGACAAACAACAUUGAAACGCCUCCCUCUCUUGCACAAGGAAGGUUUGAAGUUGCUUCUUCUCCGGCAACUGGUUAGUGGCGAGUGUCCAUUAACCAGAUAAUAAGGGAGGAAAGCUUGCUCCGGUAACAAAGCGUCGGAAGACGAUUGGCGAUGUCGCGAUGGUAGGUCUAAGAUAGUUUUUGGAUUUUUACAGUUUCAAUUAUUGAUUAUACACGACAAAAUUGAUGUUCAUUAACCUUCGAUUUCAACAAUAUAUGAAAGGCGCUAGUGGUAGAGUGGCAGCGGAUGUGGUGGUCGUAGAUGAAUACGGCGGACAGAGGCGAUCAAAGAUGAAAUAGAUAUGGAAGGAGGCGAUUGUUGUGGUUCAUUAUCGUUUGCCUAGCUUGUAGAUCUCGACUUUCAGCUUGUCGUCGCUCGUAGAUAUGGCAUCGCUGCUCAUUGGAGUUCCAAAAUCUAGCCUCGCCUAUCAUCGGUGGUGUUGUGGUCGUCAGUGAUAUUGCGAUCGUCGUCAGUAGUGGCUGUUAAUGAAAAAUUAUAGAUCUUGAUAUAGAGGACGAUGAUGUUAGUGGCGGAUCUCGUCGAUCUACUGAGCUGGAAUACGCCGACUUGGAUUCCGGUGAGCUAGUGGUGGGGGGGGCAUCGACGACGAUAACGACUGCAGAUGGUUGUUGGUGGUAGAAGGAAAAAGGAAAGUGAGAGGUUGAUGAUUUUGAGAAUGACAGGACAUGAAUCAAAUCUAGUUUUUAGAUUUGGAUUUUAAGAUCUGAUUUAUUUAUUUGUGAAAUUAGACUAAAAUUUGUUGUUGUUUACAAUUCUAUCAUUUUUUUUUUAGUAAUUGUUAGGUAAAAUAGAUAGUUCUUAGGUUUUUAAUUUUAUUUGGUUCUCAUUUUAUCUUUUACUUUUAUAUAUAUAUAUAUAUA